RNAcentral lists this ribosomal RNA (468 nucleotides) under uncultured bacterium. RNAcentral's name for it is "partial 16S ribosomal RNA". It matches the Rfam family "Bacterial small subunit ribosomal RNA", at positions 28 to 507 of the family's 1533-position model. The record is from RNAcentral.
GACGAACGCUGGCGGCGUGCUUAACACAUGCAAGUCGAACGGAAAGGCCCUGCUUUUGUGGGGUGCUCGAGUGGCGAACGGGUGAGUAACACGUGAGUAACCUGCCCUUGACUGUGGGAUAACUUCAGGAAACUGGGGCUAAUACCGGAUAGGAGCUCCUGCUGCAUGGGGUGGGUUGGAAAGUUUCGGCGGUGGUGGAUGGACUCGCGGGUUAUGAGCUUGUUGGUGAGGUAGUGGCUUACCAAGGCUUCGACGGGUAGCCGGCAUGAGAGGGUGACCGGCGACCUUGGGACUGAGAUACGGAGCAGAAGGCUACGGGCGGCAGCAGGGGGGAGCCUGACAGAACAGGGGGACGUGUGAUGCAGAAACGCCGCGUGCGGGAUGACCGCUUUCGGGUUGUAAACAACUUUGGAAUGUGCUGAAGAGUGCGUGACGGUAAUGGGUAAAGAAGCACCGGCUAACUACGUG